UUUGGGUUUUAGGGUUUCUGAUGCUGAUAAGUUGAUGUUUUUUCAGUUUGGUUGGUGAUGAAAAGGGUUUUGAAUUAACGGCUUAAUUAAACAACUUCAUGAGAAAUAACUUCUAAUGUAUACAAAAACUUCCUCUGAUUUCAAUUUCUCAAAUUAGGGUUUUUAAUUUUAACAUGUUUUUCUUAUUUGGAGUUCAAAUUCGUAGAUUUGGGCAUUUUUUAUUGAUUUUAAUUGUUUAUGUAGUUGGUAGACAUUCAAUUUUGGUAUUGGUUUUCAUUUUUUCUCCUCUUUUUCAGUUAUGGGUUUUCUUGAAUGGAUAAAAGUUGUUCUUGAAUGGGGUUUUCCGACCAUUUUAUUUGUAUGUUGUUGUUGUCGUGGUGGUGUUUCUUGUUAGGUGGUUGUUCUUCUCACUACAUCAGUUUGUGUUGCUGGAUUUUUAUCGGCCUGCUGACUUUUGGAUUGCUCUUCUAGGCAACGAGAACCACCUGUGGAGGACAUCUGUUUCUUGCAUCAUUGAAUAUAAGCAUUUGAAGAGGUAGUGAUGUGUGAUCUUGGACUAAGUUCAGAGCUGAAGGUGGCAUGUAAUUCUGCACUAAGGAAAGUCGCAGGAUUACGAGAAUCAAUCUUAUACGCACUCCAAAAAAUCUGGGCUUAUCAAGAUUGACAGUAUACUUUACUUAUAGCCAUGUAGUUUUACAAUUAUGGUUUGAUGUCGAUCCUAUGGAUAUGCUUAUGACAUGCAGGAUACUUGGUGCAUCCGCCAAAGUUUCUCCAAAGCCUAAAGUCUCUUUAACCGAAAAGUAAUAUAUCAGUAAUAAACUAAGUGUGAUAGUUGGUGCACUCGCCAAAGUUUCUCCAAAUCCUGAAGUCUCUCUGACCUAAAAGGGGCUAGGAAUAUGUGAAAUUCUUCUAAGGAAGCAAAUCAAUAGCAACACCAACCAUCUCCUGUGGUUUUCCUUGUAUCAUCUCAUGCACCCUAUUUGAUUGGUUACAGAAAACAAGCUUUACCAAUAUAUCUUAAGGUUGUCAAAAAUUCCUAAUCUAAUAGCCGACUCAAGUAAGGUGAAUUCAUUGGUGCAGAUAUUUCUAAAUGAUCAAACUACUGAUGUGUUGUGAAAUGGCAGCUUAUUAUCAUUCAGAAACACCUUAUUUAACAAGUAUCCAGGUAUUGCAGUUCUAUUCUUCAUGUGCUUGUUUGAGUUCUUUUUCUCGUCUCUUUUUCAUUUUGCGGUUGUUAGUUGAAAUAGUCUUGGGUUUUAUUUGUAGCUUAAGGAUAGAGUGAUGGACAUGAAUUGGGCUAGUUUGUCAGGCAAUGAUGUCUUGUUAAUUGGUAAUAAGCUGCUAACUUGUAUGGAAGAUUCUGUAGUUGGUUUGUUAAGUUUGUAGGAGGAAUAUCUGCAGGUUAAACUUAUUUUUCCUUAAUGUUGAAAUUUUCAUAUUUGGAAGAUUGUAAAAGUUGUAAUUGAGAACUCAUUUUCAUACAAAUUCAGUUGAAAGUCGUUAUCAAUUCAAUUUGUAAAAUUCAG
This is a long non-coding RNA of Papaver somniferum (opium poppy), 1526 nucleotides long. RefSeq lists it as uncharacterized. The transcript is spliced from 9 exons. Lineage: Eukaryota; Viridiplantae; Streptophyta; Magnoliopsida; Ranunculales; Papaveraceae. The record is from RefSeq and is a predicted model, not a curated record.